AGAAUCAACGCUGGCGGCGUGCCUAACACAUGCAAGUCGAACGAGAAAGGGACUUCGGUCCUGAGUAUAGUGGCGCACGGGUGAGUAACACGUGAAUAAUCUACCUCCGAGUGGGGAAUAACUGGAAGAAAUUUCAGCUAAUACCGCAUAACACUUACGAGUCAAAGCAGUAAUGCGCUUGGAGAGGAGUUCGCGGCAGAUUAGUUAGUUGGCGGGGUAAUGGCCCACCAAGACGAUGAUCUGUAUCCGGCCUGAGAGGGCGCACGGACACACUGGAACUGAAACACGGUCCAGACUCCUACGGGAGGCAGCAGUGGGGAAUUUUGCGCAAUGGGGGAAACCCUGACGCAGCAACGCCGCGUGGAGGAUGAAGUAUCUUGGUACGUAAACUCCUUUCGAUGGGGAAGAUAAUGACGGUACCAUAGAGAAGCCCGCUAACUUCGUGCCAGCAGCCGC
RNAcentral lists this ribosomal RNA (456 nucleotides) under uncultured bacterium. RNAcentral's name for it is "SSU rRNA". It matches the Rfam family "Bacterial small subunit ribosomal RNA", at positions 26 to 518 of the family's 1533-position model. The record is from RNAcentral.